UUCAAAUUUUCAUUGUCUCUAGCCAAGAGAGAAUGUAAAAUGGCUUCAUCAGGUGCAGCAAAGAAGCACUUCAGAAUCCACCCAUAACUCAACAGACACAAAGCUCUGUGUCAGGUCUGCAAGGUGCUGUAAGAUCUCUAUGAGGAUAUGGGAACGUUUCUGGAACAAGAGACUGCUUUGGACUAUGAGGAUUCUUUUACUGAGGAUAACAUCAAGCAUUUUUAAGGAGAUGACACUCACUGUUAAAAUGCAAACAGCUGAGGGAGUGGCUCUAGGAUAGUGCUGCACGUGCAUUUUGUCCUUUCCAGUGAAUUAAGAAGAAAACCUACAAAAACAACAUCCUAGUUUGCUUCAAA
Long non-coding RNA from Pseudopipra pipra, 356 nucleotides. RefSeq lists it as uncharacterized. Lineage: Eukaryota; Metazoa; Chordata; Aves; Passeriformes; Pipridae. The record is from RefSeq and is a predicted model, not a curated record. The transcript has 2 exons.